GAUGAACGCUGGCGGCGUGCCUCAAACAUGCAAGUCGAGCGGGGCUAUGUAAUAUCGCAAGGUAGAACAUAGCCUAGCGGCGAACGGGUGAGUAACACGUGGGUAACCUGCCUGGAAGACAGGGAUAACGAUUCGAAAGGGUCGCUAAUACCUGAUAAUAUCCUUUCAUCGCAUGGUGAUAGGAAGAAAGGGGAAACCCGCUUUCAGAUGGGCCCGCGUCCCAUCAGCUAGUUGGUAAGGUAAAGGCUUACCAAGGCGACGACGGGUAGCCGGUCUGAGAGGAUGUACGGCCACACUGGGACUGAGACACGGCCCAGACUCCUACGGGAGGCAGCAGUGGGGAAUAUUGCGCAAUGGGGGAAACCCUGACGCAGCGACGCCGCGUGAGCGAAGAAGGCCUUCGGGUUGUAAAGCUCUGUUGUAAGGGACGAAGGAGCUGGGUAGUAACUGACCUGGCGGUGACGGGUACCUUACCAGCAAGCCCCGGCGUAACUACGUGCCAGCAGCCGCGUAAAGAGU
This 519-nucleotide ribosomal RNA is filed under the name uncultured bacterium. RNAcentral describes it as "bacterial SSU rRNA". It matches the Rfam family "Bacterial small subunit ribosomal RNA", at positions 28 to 528 of the family's 1533-position model. The record is from RNAcentral.